RNAcentral lists this small RNA (126 nucleotides) under Salmonella enterica subsp. enterica. Its description in RNAcentral is "RtT sRNA". It matches the Rfam family "RtT RNA". From Rfam's summary of the family: This family represents a bacterial cis-regulatory element known as RtT RNA. The exact function of RtT is unknown although it is thought that it may be involved in changing the cellular response in relation to amino acid starvation. The record is from RNAcentral. Lineage: Bacteria; Pseudomonadati; Pseudomonadota; Gammaproteobacteria; Enterobacterales; Enterobacteriaceae.
UUGCUAUCUACGAUAUGGAAGAUUCGAACCUGCCGCAGGUUCGGGUCUCACGUAGUGAGACAACGGAGCCGCUUGCGGCGACGGCCCGAAGGGCGAGCAAAGCGAGUCAUCCUGCACGACCCACCA